GACGAACGCUGGCGGCGUGCUUAACACAUGCAAGUCGAACGGAAAGGCCCUGCUUUUGUGGGGUGCUCGAGUGGCGAACGGGUGAGUAACACGUGAGUAACCUGUCCUUGACUUUGGGAUAACUUCAGGAAAAUGGGGCUAAUACCGGAUAGGAGAUCCUGAUGCAUGGGGGGGGUUGGAAAAAUUCGGCGGUUUGGCAUGGACGCGCGGCUUAUCAGCGUGUUGGUGGGGUAGUGGCUUACAACGGCAUUGACGGGUAGCCGGCCUGCGAGGGUGACCGGCCACAAUGGGCCUGAGGUGCGGCCCAGACUCCUACGGGAGGCAGCAGUGGGGGAUAGUGCACGAUGGGCGGAGUCCUGAUGCAGCGACGCCGCGUGCUGGAUGACGGCCUUCGGGUUGUAAACCGCGUUCGCCUGUGACGAAGCGUGAGUGACGGUAAUGGGUAAAGAAGCACCGGCUAACUACGUG
This 468-nucleotide ribosomal RNA is filed under the name uncultured bacterium. RNAcentral describes it as "partial 16S ribosomal RNA". It matches the Rfam family "Bacterial small subunit ribosomal RNA", at positions 28 to 507 of the family's 1533-position model. The record is from RNAcentral.